RNAcentral lists this transfer RNA (63 nucleotides) under Siphonodentalium lobatum. Its description in RNAcentral is "tRNA-Asn". Lineage: Eukaryota; Metazoa; Mollusca; Scaphopoda; Gadilida; Siphonodentaliidae. The record is from RNAcentral.
AGAUAAGUAGUUUAAAAUAAAACUCAAGACUGUUACUCUUGUAAACCCAUCAGGGCUUACCUC